RNAcentral lists this ribosomal RNA (395 nucleotides) under uncultured bacterium. RNAcentral's name for it is "partial 16S ribosomal RNA". It matches the Rfam family "Bacterial small subunit ribosomal RNA", at positions 338 to 730 of the family's 1533-position model. The record is from RNAcentral.
CCUACGGGUGGCAGCAGUGAGGAAUAUUGGUCAAUGGGCGUAAGCCUGAACCAGCCAAGUCGCGUGAGGGAUGAAGGUUCUAUGGAUCGUAAACCUCUUUUAUAGGGGAGUAAAAGACGGGACGUGUCCCGUUUUGAGUGUACCUUAUGAAUAAGGAUCGGCUAACUCCGUGCCAGCAGCCGCGGUAAUACGGAGGAUCCGAGCGUUAUCCGGAUUUAUUGGGUUUAAAGGGUGCGUAGGCGGCCUUUUAAGUCAGCGGUGAAAUUCGGUGGCUCAACCCUCGACUAGCCGUUGAAACUGGGAGGCUUGAGUGUGUGAGAAGAAGGCGGAAUGCGUGGUGUAGCGGUGAAAUGCAUAGAUAUCACGCAGAACUCCGAUUGCGAAGGCAGCAUACC